RNAcentral lists this ribosomal RNA (497 nucleotides) under Neisseria weaveri. RNAcentral describes it as "bacterial SSU rRNA". It matches the Rfam family "Bacterial small subunit ribosomal RNA", at positions 9 to 496 of the family's 1533-position model. Lineage: Bacteria; Pseudomonadati; Pseudomonadota; Betaproteobacteria; Neisseriales; Neisseriaceae. The record is from RNAcentral.
GAGUUUGAUUAUGGCUCAGAUUGAACGCUGGCGGCAUGCUUUACACAUGCAAGUCGGACGGCAGCACAGAGAAGCUUGCUUCUUGGGUGGCGAGUGGCGAACGGGUGAGUAAUAUAUUGGAACGUACCGAGUAAUGGGGGAUAACUUGCCGAAAGGUAAGCUAAUACCGCAUACGCUCUGAGGAGGAAAGCAGGGGACCUUCGGGCCUUGCGUUAUUCGAGCGGCCAAUAUCUGAUUAGCUAGUUGGUGGGGUAAAGGCCUACCAAGGCGACGAUCAGUAGCGGGUCUGAGAGGAUGAUCCGCCACACUGGGACUGAGACACGGCCCAGACUCCUACGGGAGGCAGCAGUGGGGAAUUUUGGACAAUGGGCGCAAGCCUGAUCCAGCCAUGCCGCGUGUCUGAAGAAGGCCUUCGGGUUGUAAAGGACUUUUGUCAGGGAAGAAAAGGUUGUGGCUAAUAUCCAUGACNGAUGACGNACCUGAAGAAUAAGCACCGG